AGUUUGAUCAUGGCUCAGGAUGAACGCUAGCGGGAGGCCUAACACAUGCAAGCCGAGCGGUAUUGUUUCUUCGGAAAUGAGAGAGCGGCGUACGGGUGCGGAACACGUGUGCAACCUGCCUUUAUCUGGGGGAUAGCCUUUCGAAAGGAAGAUUAAUACUCCAUAAUAUAUUGAACGGCAUCGUUUAAUAUUGAAAGCUCCGGCGGAUAGAGAUGGGCACGCGCAAGAUUAGCUAGUUGGUGAGGUAACGGCUCACCAAGGCGAUGAUCUUUAGGGGCCUGAGAGGGUGAUCCCCCACACUGGUACUGAGACACGGACCAGACUCCUACGGGAGGCAGCAGUGAGGAAUAUUGGUCAAUGGGUGCAAGCCUGAACCAGCCAUCCCGCGUGAAGGACGACUGCCCUAUGGGUUGUAAACUUCUUUUGUAUAGGGAUAAACCUACCCUCGUGAGGGUAGCUGAAGGUACUAUACGAAUAAGCACCGGCUAACUCCGUG
Molecule: ribosomal RNA, 496 nt
Filed under: uncultured bacterium
Lineage: Bacteria
Description: bacterial SSU rRNA
Rfam family: Bacterial small subunit ribosomal RNA
Source: RNAcentral